This 433-nucleotide ribosomal RNA is filed under the name uncultured bacterium. RNAcentral's name for it is "partial 16S ribosomal RNA". It matches the Rfam family "Bacterial small subunit ribosomal RNA", at positions 29 to 507 of the family's 1533-position model. The record is from RNAcentral.
AACGAACGCUGGCGGCAUGCCUAACACAUGCAAGUCGAACGAGACCUUCGGGUCUAGUGGCGCACGGGUGCGUAACGCGUGGGAACCUGCCCUUAGGUUCGGAAUAACUCCCCGAAAGGGGUGCUAAUACCGGAUAAUGUCUUCGGACCAAAGAUUUAUCGCCUUUGGAUGGGCCCGCGUUGGAUUAGCUAGUUGGUAGGGUAAAAGCCUACCAAGGCGACGAUCCAUAGCUGGUCUGAGAGGAUGAUCAGCCACACUGGGACUGAGACACGGCCCAGACUCUUACGGGAGGCGGCAAUGGGGAAUAUUGGAAAAUGGGCGAAAGCCUGAACCACCAAUGCCGCGUGAGUGAUGAAGGCCUUAAGGUUGUAAAGCUCUUUUACCCGGGAUGAUAAUGACGGUACCGGGAGAAUAAGCGCCGGCUAACUCCGUG